RNAcentral lists this microRNA precursor (207 nucleotides) under Oryza brachyantha (malo sina). Its description in RNAcentral is "MIR812 microRNA precursor family". It matches the Rfam family "MIR812 microRNA precursor family". Lineage: Eukaryota; Viridiplantae; Streptophyta; Magnoliopsida; Poales; Poaceae. The record is from Rfam by way of RNAcentral.
AAUAAAUCUAUUUUUCAACUUUUAGAUACAAUGUUUUGACUCUUCGUUUUAUUUAAUUUUUUUGCAAUUAAUAUUUUUAUUGUUACUAGAUGAUAAAAUAUAAAUAGUAAUUUACAUGUGGCUAAUUUUUUUAAGUUUUUUUACAAAUUUUUCAAAUAAGACGAAUGGUCAAAAAGUUAAACACAGAAAUCGAAAAAUAAAGUUAUU